GGAACAGCCCAGCUGCAAUUGUUUCAUCUAGCUUUCCCCAGCAGAGCGAGGUGUGUUAUUCACAGGGUCUAAUUAGGUGCUUUCUUGUUUCAGGAAAAUUGCUGGUUUGCAUCGCUGUUCUCUUACGGGAAGGAGGAAUUUCAAUGGGGUCAGCGUGGAGUCCCCAUGGAGACAGACGGCGGCCGGGUGGCUCGGACUCAGGAGGCGACGAGACUCGACGCCCCUCUGAGUGGCGGAGCCGUGAUGGCUCUCAGUAUCUCUCGUCAUGUCCCUGGCAGCUUUGACACAGGUAAUAUGCAUGCAGUCUGACAGAGCCGGAGAUGUGCACCGGCGACAAUGAUGUACAUAUCAUUUUCCUCCCUGGCUGAUUGAAGACUGUAAUCUGUGCUGGACUUUCUCUCUGAUUACACACGUCUCUGUCUCGGGGAGCAAAACAAGGACUCUGAACUGCCGCUGGGAACCAGGCUCACCCUGGGCUUUCAGCCUUCGAGAGGACUGCACUCUGCCUCUAAGGGACCAAGGGAAUCAGCUCUUCUCCUGAGACAAACCUCUGUGUUACCAUUGGACCCUUGUGAUCCAGGCCUAAUAGCAUAUCAAGCACCUGACAGAGGCGAACAGGUAACAGGCAGCAUGGGACCCCAGGACACUGCUGGCUUCAUCUCUCUACCUCUCUUCCCCAAAGUCAACUCAUUCAUUUGGAGGACACCUUCAUGUUUUAAGUGAUGGUGUCCGCCAUAAGGAGGAUACUUUGGUGCUGUCCAACAAGCCGUCUGUUAUCAGAGGGAAAUGUGUCCGUUCAGAGGUGAGGGGGGGCUUUGUGCUCUCAACCAGGCCACCUCUCUGCCUUUGUCGUGGUAACAAGCUCAGCUCAGGCUCCAUUGAAGCGAGAAAUUGUAAACUCUCCAGAGAGGCCCAGUGGAGAGAUAAGGGUUUAGUGUUUGCUGGCUGUGUGCUUGGGGAUGAAUCAGAUAAGCUCGAGUCCCACGCCAGAAUGGGAGUGAUGAGACCUCCCCUUCUGUGGGUGUUAUGUUUAAUCCCUUUGCCAGUGUAUUCACUUGCAAAUCCUCCUGUCACCAUUAAUAUGUAUUAACACUCCUCAGACAGUGUUCAAUACAGAUUUAUCAGGCUCCUAUUUUCUUUCCUCUUGUUUGCACUGUCGUCUCACCCUCCUCUGUAACCGUGGAGCUUUCUUUUCAGUGCCAAUAUCGAGGCGACAUGCUUUUGCUGUGAGAGACCAGAUAUUACUGUGCACUCUCUCUCUCUCUCUCUCUCUCUCUCUCUCUCUAUGGGGUUUCUUUCAACAGUCCCUUCUUUCCUUUAAGUUCGGGUUUCUGUUCUAUAGAGGACUUAAACUCCGAACAUACUUUAUUGCAGUCCUGUGUGAAUAUGUGGGAUCCCUACAUCUCUGAAAGUAUAGCAUUGACUCGCUCAUCAAUGUUUGAUUUGUUGAUUAUAAGGCUCAGUCACUUCACACAGAGCUAAAAACCUGUCUUUUGAAUUCCUCUCGGGUUGAUCAAUUUCCACUGUGUAAUUAAGAAUAGCGGUGCAUUAAUCUAUUUGAUCCAAUACAAUAAAGCAUAUUAGAUGGGGAUGUUUUAGGAGAUUUUGUUUGCACCAAUUGGUUAGGUGGCCUAAUCCUCACAAAGCCCUGUGAAGCUCAUUAUGUCCCUGAGCCGCUAGUGGUAAGGUACUGUUAGCAUUAAAACAGCCCAGCAGUGCCACGGCCUGCAUGCCUAGCUGUCAGCUCCCUGGCAGAGCCCGAAUCAAGCUGUCAAUUACCGGACGUGUUUAUGGAAAUUACAUGUUUGUUAACAUGCUGGAAAAAUGUGCUCUCGGCGCAAGCAGCGUGACUUCGGAUAACAAUUUUGCUCUGAAAUCACCUUUUAGUCUGAUAUAGGUGAUCCUCAUCAGAUCACAGACAUGGCAUUUUUUAACACCGGCUAGCCACACAAAGAUGCAUCACAAAGAGCCCUCGCAUUGGAUCUGCAGGCUCACGACUAACUAGGAGCUCCAGCCCAAACCGGAGCUCUGUAACAAACUGACACUCAGAUACACUAAUGUAUUCAUGUGUCUAGACAGCUAUAUCAACUGUCUGGAUAGAAGAAGAAAAAAUAAGAAGAAAAAAGUUGUGGGGUUACUGCAUAGAGAGCUUGGUGAAAGAUGUUGUGUGUGCUUCCACACAAGUAUAUACGGUAUAGGCUAAUGUAACAAAUACUCCACUAUGUCAAUUGUGUCUGGUCUUAAGUGAGUAUUUGGGGCGCCACUGGACUUUCAGACACAACUGUCUGACAUGUCAUGUUUAUUGUCGAUUUCCCCCAUUUUACAUCCUAUUAUUCUCCGACUGUAGAGCCCUUGAUUUGAGCCCAGCCGAUGCUCACGACAUUGAGACUAUCGACGUCCACGCCUCAGAGACGUGUGGCCAAGCUCAUCACACAGAAGGUAAUUGUGUCUGAGCAAUUACCUGGCUAAUGUAUUCUACUGUCGGGGCAUUUUCUGCUGCUUAGGUGAGCCGCUGACGGCAUGUUUUGAUUUUUUUGAGCAAUUGUGCCCUUCACUCUGAAAGAAGUCCUGUGUCUUGUCUGGCUCGGUCUUUCUCCCUAUGUAUCUCCCCCGUGAUGCUCCCAGAUUUCACAUAGCUGCUGCGGAGAAGUAUACUUAAUGAACUUACUGUAUGUAGAAGUGCUGUAUUGGAAUGCCUUAGCAUGUGCCGAGUGGAGUUGACAGAGCUGCAGAUACGAUGGGGUGUGUGUUUGUGAAGGGAAGAUUCCUGCUGUAAGACAUCCCUAUUCCCAACGGUUGCUGUAUCACCUGUCAGGGAUGAGCACAACGUCCCAGAGAACGCCACUGUGCAGUGAAACUGUCAUCACACAAUUACUCUCACCAUUACUGCCCUACAGCUCCGUGCAACGGCUGUGACACACUUUACAAUUCAGAUUGUAUUCUCAGUCAUUGGCACUUAAAUGCGGCACUCCGUUUUAUAAAAAGAUAAAAGAUCUCUGUAAUCUGCUGUGGCUCAACCAGCCCCGUGAAAGCUUGUCAGGCUGCAUUUUGUCAUUGGCUUGAUGUUGUCAAACCUCGCAGCUUCACCCUUUGUUGGCCCUGUGUACAUGUUUGUUUUUUGAGUGUGCUAUUGUGUUGCUUGUUAAUGUGGUUGUACAGUCAGGACAGGAGUAAGACCCAGGCUCCCGUGUCUGCGACCACUUAUCUAUUUGAUUCAUUGUGAGGAAACACAACGUCUACUGCGCUAUGCAGUCACCAUAGUAAGGUUCACUGUAAAUCACAGUGAAGUACCAAGGGUCAGUGCACUUUCCUGAAUCGGCUGUAUGAGAUCUUUCUUCGUUGUAUUCAGUUCCUCACCGGGUGUAGUUUUUGGUAAUCUCUUGGUCAAGGUUAACAGGUGAUAGUCUGCUGGUUUCCACUUGGUGUAGACAGAAUCUCUGGCACAAGCAAGCCUUAAGUAUUAGUCAUCUUCGUCACCAGGUCUUCCAGUUGUCCUGCAGAUGCAGAAGUGCUCAGCGUUGAUAGCAACGACAAAAACCAAACUGUGUGUAUUCAGGUGAGAUAGCAGAUUGAGUUUAACAAGCCAGAUGGCUUGUAAUCGUCGGAUCAAUCCAAUGUUUGUGAGCUUUUAUGCUUUUUAUUAUGGUUUGCUUUCCUUACGUGUAAUUUCCUCUGGUGAUUAGUCUGCCCCUGGGUAGGGCUAGAGAGUUCAUCUGCCCGGCCAUCACUGCCUCUGCCAGGGCCAGGACCGUGACCUGCCCCCCUGGGCUGGUUCUGGCACUCUCUGGCUGGACUUCCAGUGGAGCAGCCCGGAGCCCCGUCCUCCAUGCCUGUUGGCCAUGCUGCUGCGGUUUUAAUGCCCACCACAGAGAGCAACAUCCAGCAGCAUAUGGCUAAUGUCCCCUCUGUCUCUGAAGCGGCUAGUUUUUGGGGCGUUUGUUUUUUCGGUCACUUUUUUAGUUCGGGAAGUUAGCCGCUCAGUCCCUGAUACAGAUGUUGUGAGACACAGAUUGGCUUGGAGCCCAAGUCACGUGUUUAGCAAUUGAAUGCCACAAAGUAGUCUGAUAUCACUUCAUGACUGUGGUCUCGUGCAUGUUAUGGCGACACUGCAGCAGAAGCUGGGAGCAUAAGAGACUUUUGCAGGUCUCGCUGUGGGCUGACGUUUCAGAGGCAGCCUCCCUUGCAAUAAUAUGAUGUGAGAUACGGUUCGUCUUCACAUUCACACGGGAACCCUACAGGUAUCCAGCUAUACAGGGGAAGGCGGGGAGAAGAACUUGACUCGAGUUGAUCACUGAGAGGCAGAGACUGGCAGGUCUUCUAGGCAUUGUCUGAUCCUGGAACCUGUACCAGCAUGCUUCCUUCUGAAAUCAUAGCACACGUGUUGUUCUCCUUACAGAUGUGAAGGGGUUAAUACUUCACUUUUAGAACCCACAGGCUGGCUUUGUCACUCCUGCUUUAUCCCAGUAAUUGAGUCACUUUAACAGCGCUUUUGUUUCUUUUCUUAGGUAUGAAAGGAGCUGGAUAGAUACUCCACAUGCUCAAUCAGAAAGAGCUAAUCUGACUAUAUUGUUUGACAAGUGUGUCCCUUACAGCUUGGAGUGACUGAGAUGUAAUCUAAAAACAAUUAUGUCAAUUCCUGAGAACAGUAUGGGGCAGGUAAGAAGCGUUUCAGCUUUCGUCAGGUUAAAUGUAAUGGCUUCACUCUAGCCCUCUUCAAGCCCUGAACUUCUCCGUUCGUGAAUAAGGGUUGUGCUUGUGCCUGUUCAAAGUUGGUGAAUUUCCGGCAACUUUUUCAAGUUGAUUUUGGAGUGGAUGGAAUGAAUUGCAGCCACUGCUGCUUCUGGAGACUGACAGCUACUGUGUGACCAUUUCCUUCAUCUCCUCACCCCUCCUGUGGGAGCUUGCUAUUUUCGGAUCACGUGGAUCCUUGAAUCCUAUCUGUGACAAGUGAUCUGAUCAGUGUCAUGUUGUCUCAGUCGUGACAGAUGUUAUUUUGUUGUACCACCCACGCACCCACACUAUUAGUCUACCAUUACUUGACUCCGCUUCCUCUACCACCAUCCAUCCACCGUCAUCUCCAGAAUGUGAAGUUCAUUCUAAUUCUGCAGCACAUCAGGUUCCUCAUCUAUUUUUGUUAAAUGGCAAGUAAAAGGCCUUGGAGGUGCUUUGGCAUUUCCGAGCUAGUGAAGUAAGAGAGAAGAAGUCAAGGUUGCAGAGGACUGCAGCCCACCCGAGCCGGCUCUUUUUAAACCCCUGUUGGGCUUUUACAUUUUUAUCACUCCUGGUAUUUGUUCUCAAUGGCAAAUUAACAGCCUUCCUUGUGCCGUUCAGUUUCUUUUCGGAAGACGAGGCUUAAAUUUAGUCUAACUGCCUGAAUUUACUACUAUUCUAUUAUUCACACGGCACAAUCAAUACCAGGUCUGAAGUAGAGAGGAUAAAAAUUUAUGAUAUCUUGCAAUUUAAUGGUUGAAAAGAUGCAAUUUGAAAGAUCAUAAAUUGUGAAGGAGCUUAUGCUUCAUUGCCCUUGAUUCAGUGCUUGCUGUUAGAACUUGAUUUGCGAGUGUCUGCAAAGUGUGAUUAACGAGGCGAUCAAUGUGCGCCGCGGCACACUACGGCACUCCUAAUGCUCUUCAUUAGAAUAAAUAAAAUGAAUUGACUGCAGCUCUAUGAAAACUCUGUAAUGGUUAAAAAGCAAAGAACGUCACCCUUCUCCUACGAUUUAGCCCCUCUCGGCCUGUGUCCACCUUCAUCACAUUACGCCUGACAGCCCUGUCCCCAAACCUGCAGUCUCCCCGGCAACAUGCUCAGGGAGAGGGUAGUGGAAGUGGUGUCGAUGGGGGUGAGAAGGGAUUGUUUAGUUGACUGGUAAUCAUAAGUCGGGGGGGCUUUUUGCUCAGAAAACUUUGGAGGGAGGCAUGAUAGUUGAUAAACGGUUUCCGGAGGGGUCUGUGUGCAGAUUGCUCUUCUGCUUUGGUUUUGCAUGGCCCAGGCCUGUUCUCUGUAAUCAGGGUCGUAACCAGCUUUUGAGUUUUAGUGAUGUCCGAAAAGUAAUUUACUGCAUUUCUAUACAAUUUUUUGUUUUUAAACGUUAAAAUGCUAUUUGGAGAACAGGAAAAAAACAUGUAAAAACACCUUGGCUGCUGUAGGUUCAUUCACCGCGAUCUACAAACAUGUAGCCUACCCCUGAAAGUGGCGAAAUAUGAGAAAUGAUUCACACUGACACUUAGCAUCUGUCCAGUUAAUUGUAAUGAUGAAUUCCAGAAAACCAUCACCUCUUUACAUAGAUAUCUCUAUUCUCAAAUGACAUAGCAUUCACAUUUACUAAUCAAGCUCCGCACAAACACAUCAGUGGAGCACACAUGAAUUAUAAAAAUAUUCUUUCUGAUUCUUUAUUAAUAUCAGUGAUCUAGUGGGUGAAGAAAGUGGGUAAUGGAUAAGAUGAGUAACCACCGAUAUAAACAAAAACGUAUGACAUUUUUACAACUGGAUGGUUUGCUACUUGAUAGUAUUUUAAUGUAGGCCUCUAGGGAAAAUAUGCCCGGACCCCAAGUUUGGGAGCCUCUCUCUCUCCUCUCUUUCUCUCUCUUUCUCUCUCUCCUCUCUUUCUCUCUCUUUCUCUCUCUCUCCUCUCUCUCUCUCUCUCUUCUCUCUCUCUCU
Molecule: long non-coding RNA, 6657 nt
Organism: Oncorhynchus keta (chum salmon)
Lineage: Eukaryota; Metazoa; Chordata; Actinopteri; Salmoniformes; Salmonidae
Exons: 4
Source: RefSeq, a predicted model, not a curated record